GAUGAACGCUGGCGGCGUGCCUAAUACAUGCAAGUCGAGCGAACAGACGAGGAGCUUGCUCCUCUGACGUUAGCGGCGGACGGGUGAGUAACACGUGGAUAACCUACCUUUAAGACUGGGAUAACUUCGGGAAACCGGAGCUAAUACCGGAUAAUAUAUUGAACCGCAUGGUUCAAUAUUGAAAGACGGUUUUGCUGUCACUUAUAGAUGGACCCGCGCCGCAUUAGCUAGUUGGUAAGGUAACGGCUUACCAAGGCGACGAUGCGUAGCCGACCUGAGAGGGUGAUCGGCCACACUGGAACUGAGACACGGUCCAGACUCCUACGGGAGGCAGCAGUAGGGAAUCUUCCGCAAUGGGCGAAAGCCUGACGGAGCAACGCCGCGUGAGUGAUGAAGGUCUUCGGAUCGUAAAACUCUGUUAUUAGGGAAGAACAAAUGUGUAAGUAACUAUGCACGUCUUGACGGUACCUAAUCAGAAAGCCACGGCUAACUACGUG
Molecule: ribosomal RNA, 497 nt
Filed under: uncultured bacterium
Lineage: Bacteria
Description: partial 16S ribosomal RNA
Rfam family: Bacterial small subunit ribosomal RNA
Source: RNAcentral